RNAcentral lists this ribosomal RNA (253 nucleotides) under uncultured bacterium. RNAcentral's name for it is "partial 16S ribosomal RNA". It matches the Rfam family "Bacterial small subunit ribosomal RNA", at positions 524 to 776 of the family's 1533-position model. The record is from RNAcentral.
UACGUAGGGGGCAAGCGUUGUCCGGAAUCAUUGGGCGUAAAGAGCGUGUAGGUUGUUCGAUAAGUCUGCUGUGAAAGUCCAGGGCUCAACCCUGGGAUGCCGGUGGAUACUGUCGGACUAGAGUACGGAAGAGGCGAGUGGAAUUCCCGGUGUAGCGGUGAAAUGCGCAGAUAUCGGGAGGAACACCAAUUGCGAAGGCAGCUCGCUGGGACGUUACUGACACUGAGACGCGAAAGCGUGGGGAGCAAACAGG